AUUGAACGCUGGCGGCAUGCCUUACACAUGCAAGUCGAACGGUAACAGGUCUUCGGAUGCUGACGAGUGGCGAACGGGUGAGUAAUACAUCGGAACGUGCCCGAUCGUGGGGGAUAACGAGGCGAAAGCUUUGCUAAUACCGCAUACGAUCUACGGAUGAAAGCGGGGGAACUUCGGACCUCGCGCGGACGGACCGGCCGAUGGCAGAUUAGGUAGUUGGUGGGAUAAAAGCUGACCAAGCCGACGAUCUGUAGCUGGUCUGAGAGGAUGAUCAGCCACACUGGGACUGAGACACGGCCCAGACUCCUACGGGAGGCAGCAGUGGGGAAUUUUGGACAAUGGGCGAAAGCCUGAUCCAGCCAUGCCGCGUGCAGGAUGAAGGCCUUCGGGUUGUAAACUGCUUUUGUACGGAACGAAAAGCCUCUUUCUAAUAAAGAGGGGUCAUGACGGUACCGGAAGAAUAAGCACCGGCUAACUACGUG
This 482-nucleotide ribosomal RNA is filed under the name uncultured bacterium. RNAcentral describes it as "partial 16S ribosomal RNA". It matches the Rfam family "Bacterial small subunit ribosomal RNA", at positions 30 to 507 of the family's 1533-position model. The record is from RNAcentral.